CAGGUUGUCUCCUGGUUGAUAAAGAAUUUUUACUGUUCAUAUUAGCUCGAAGAAACUUUAAUAUUUUUUUUCUUAGUCUUCUUCAUUGAUUGCUUAUCACUUACUCACUUUAUUUACAGGAUCCAGUAUUUUCUUUUAAACAUAGCGUGAAUGUCCAAACCAAAUAUGGCUUCCUCCAAAUAUGCCUCAAGAAAUUGGACCAGAAUGGCCAAAAGAUGUUCAAGAAUCAAGGUUGUGCCUCAUCCUUACAGUGUUUAGAAGGGCUUGUCUACAACGUCGAGAGUAGACGAACGAGAGGCCAUGAAAUCUGGCCUAUCUUUUACAAUGUUGAUCCAACCGAGGUUGAGGACGUCAGUGGAAGCUUUUUG
This 368-nucleotide unclassified non-coding RNA is filed under the name Hevea brasiliensis (rubber tree). The record is from RNAcentral. Lineage: Eukaryota; Viridiplantae; Streptophyta; Magnoliopsida; Malpighiales; Euphorbiaceae.